Long non-coding RNA from Mastomys coucha (southern multimammate mouse), 402 nucleotides. RefSeq lists it as uncharacterized. NCBI's taxonomy places the organism in Eukaryota, Metazoa, Chordata, Mammalia, Rodentia, Muridae. The record is from RefSeq and is a predicted model, not a curated record. The transcript is spliced from 3 exons.
GAUACAACUGCCCAGUACUUUUGCUAGGAGAAGACAUUCUGAUGAGAGCAACUUAAGGAGAAAAACUUACAAAUCCUUUCAAGGUUCCAGUCUCUGAAGACAGGGGAAUCACACCCACAGGAGCCUCAGACAUCUGGUCAUGUCCCAUCUACACCCGGAAGCAGAGAAUGAUAAAUGCCUGUGGCGUUUGAAUGUAUGUGCACCAAGGGCAAGCAGUACCCACAUGGACCAGAAGAGGGCAUCAGUCCCCUGGAACUAGGACCUUAACCCACGUCCUCUGUGAGAGGACAUGGAGAAACAGUGACAUCUACUGUGUGCAGCAUGAAUUUCAUCAUUUCUUUCUCUGAAAACAUUAAGGAAGUCUUAAAGGCCUACAAUUCUACAAGAAUUUAUAUAGAGAGC